This 77-nucleotide transfer RNA is filed under the name Actinoplanes teichomyceticus. RNAcentral's name for it is "tRNA-Pro". Lineage: Bacteria; Bacillati; Actinomycetota; Actinomycetes; Micromonosporales; Micromonosporaceae. The record is from RNAcentral.
GACCGGGGUGGGCUGGCUGGCUGUCCUGCUCGGAGCGGGACAGUGGCUGGCCCGGGCGCAGGCCUGGCCGGGCCGCC